This 78-nucleotide small RNA is filed under the name Kluyvera ascorbata. RNAcentral's name for it is "sroE RNA". It matches the Rfam family "sroE RNA". From Rfam's summary of the family: This family consists of a number of bacterial sroE RNA genes of around 90 bases in length. sroE is found in several Enterobacterial species but its function is unknown. The record is from RNAcentral. Lineage: Bacteria; Pseudomonadati; Pseudomonadota; Gammaproteobacteria; Enterobacterales; Enterobacteriaceae.
AUAACGAGAUGGGAAGCGGCUUGCUUCCUGUGUAUGAUUGAACCCCAGGCGCUGAACGCGCUGAGGGUUCAUUUUUAU